RNAcentral lists this transfer RNA (67 nucleotides) under Marmota monax (woodchuck). Its description in RNAcentral is "tRNA.Ala". The record is from RNAcentral. Lineage: Eukaryota; Metazoa; Chordata; Mammalia; Rodentia; Sciuridae.
GGUUGUGGCUUAGAGGUAGAGCGCUUACCUAGCAUGCAUGAGGCACUGGGUUCAAUCCUUAGCACCA